This 141-nucleotide small RNA is filed under the name Chromobacterium amazonense. RNAcentral's name for it is "Manganese sequence". It matches the Rfam family "Manganese Mn2+ riboswitch aptamer (yybP-ykoY)". From Rfam's summary of the family: This RNA was originally discovered in E. coli during a large scale screen and was named SraF. The record is from RNAcentral. Lineage: Bacteria; Pseudomonadati; Pseudomonadota; Betaproteobacteria; Neisseriales; Chromobacteriaceae.
GCUGUAGUCAUUGGGGAGUAGCCAUUCCCAGCGCCCCGCUGGGAAGACCACGUCAACAAACUUGAGACAGCUGUCUCAUGGCGUGGUCAGCCGCUGCAGCAGCAGCGUGAGCCCGGCGAGACCUUUGGCCGCAAUGCGCUU